Molecule: long non-coding RNA, 1435 nt
Filed under: Piliocolobus tephrosceles (Ugandan red Colobus)
Lineage: Eukaryota; Metazoa; Chordata; Mammalia; Primates; Cercopithecidae
Description: lncRNA (ENSPTEG00000028680.1)
Source: RNAcentral
AUUUAUUUUUCACCUUUCAGUAUUUGCUAGUUUAUUGUUCUAUUUUUUAUUGUAAUAUUUUAUUAUAUUACCUUAUUAACAGAAGUACCUCUAUUAAACUAAGAUGUUUAAAAAAAAUUGCACAAGCGUUUUAUUAAAUUAGUUGAACAGUUGACUAAAUUUAUGUAAAUAAGUAUUUAUAUGUGUGUUUAUAAGCAAAUUAUAUGAAAAAAAAUGCUGUAAGUAAAUAUGUUUCUUACUCUUAAAAUGUUGUAUUUGUUAGCAUUGCGUUUGGUAUGAUUAUGCAUAUAUGUAUAUAUACAUAUAUAUAUAAACAUAUCAAAGGUUAUGCACAAAUAUAUGAAAAACUGAAAAUUAUUUUUAAUAUUCGAUUUAGUAAGUGAAAUAUAAAUUAACUUUGAAGUUUAAUUAUGAUUAAAACUUUCACAUAUAUAUUAAUAUCACUCGAUAUUUUCCCCCCCUCUCUUUAUUUUAUGUAUGUUUCCUAUUAUUCAAUACUUUUAUAGUGUUUUUUUAGUAGUACGAAAAAUUUAAUAUUAUUGGCUUUUCAUAAAUUUUAAAAUUUUGUUAAAAAUAUAAUUUGAAUUUAGGAAAUUUUUUAUGUUAAUAUUUAUUGAAAAGAAAAUUGCAAUGUAUUUAUGUUUUAAAGGUUUUUUUUUUUUUUUUUUUUUUUUUUUUUUUUUUUUUUUCCAACCUCGUAUCUUCAAAAUGAAUACUAAAAGUAGUAAAAUUAGUCAACAAGAACAAUCAGAAACGUUGUCGCUUAUAAAGAAGCAAUUUUUCAAAACUAAGAUGUGCCCUUUUCAAAAAAAUAAGAAUUAUUGUUUAAAUGAGUUGAAUUGUCAUUAUGCUCAUAGUCUUGAUGAAUUAAAGCCAAUGCCAGAUUUGAGAAACACGAAAUUAUGUGAUUAUGUAAAAAAAAAAUUACCUUGCAAAGACCCCAAUUGUAAAUUUGCCCACGAUAUUGAUACUUUAAAACCUAGUAUACAUUUAGCAACGUACAAAUCUACUAUAUGUAGUUUUUGGGGUAAGGGUAAAUGUUUUAAUGGUGAUAAAUGUAGAUUUGCACAUGGUACUGAAGAUAUGAAACAGGGUCAGAAUGAUGAUACAUUAAUAGAUGCAUGUAAAUAUAAUAACAAAAGUAAAAGUAAAAACAAAACUGAUACAAUUGUUAAUGACAUAAAACAAAGAACAGAAUCAACAAACACAUUCAAUACAUGCGAUUUUUCUAUUAAUGGUUCUAUAGAAGCUACAAAUGGUGUAUCAUCACCUUUUAAUAAAAGUAGAGAAAUCUUAUUAGCUAAAAAAAACAAAGUUAUAAUACUAAAAAAACAAAAAAUCAAGAUAAACUGAACAUGUAUGAUUCGAGUAAUGAAAAUGACCAUGAAAAUAUAGAAGGUAAUUUUACCCACGGGGAGAAGAAAAAUCAUGGUGC